UACAAACUUAGGUAUAAAGUUUAACAAAAAAAAGGAUAACAAAGAAAAUGUAACAUCAUGUGUUGAUAAUAUAAUGAACGAAGAAUCAUUUAGGUUGUUUUCUGAAUUUUUUAAUAAUACAGUAUCGUUGACUAAUUCGGAAGUAGGCUAUACUGAUUUGUCAGUCGGAAAGAGGGGACAUAAACGCUUGUCAAAGGUUGGGUUGGGUUUAGAACAGAUGGCUAGUCAUGAUAGCUUACCUAGGGACAACUCACCUAAGGACAACUCACCUAAGGACAACUCACCUAAGGACAGCUUACCUAAGGACAGCGUAUCCAGUGACACAAACCUAACAUAUUACCAAAACAUAACAACCACCGUGUAUAACGCAAUUAAAAAUCCAUGCUUCGUAACCAAUUCCAAUUUUAGUAAAAAAAAAGAAAUAAAAAUUAUUAAAAAAGUGUUAAAUUACUUGAAACUAGCGAAAUGUAAUAAUCGACUUAAAUUGUAUAUUUUAUUUAAACUGUUUCAGAAUAAAAAUAUAGAAAAGCAUUUUCCUUGUUUGUUUAAGUGCAUGAAUGAUAUGAGACAUGUAAGUAGUAAAACUGAAGUAGCAAAAAAUGUGAUGCAUAGUUUGGGUAUAGACAGUUACACAAUUAAGGAGGUAAGUAAUAAGGAGCAGGUAAAUCCUAACCCUAACGCGUUAGGGUUAGAAAGUGAUGACGCUAUUAUUAAUAUGACAGGAAAGGAUUCUAAAAAAAUGGAUAAUAUAUCGUUAAGAUGUGCAUCAUUAGUGCCUGAGUUACUAAAGAGUGAAGAACAAUUUAUUUCAAACGACAUGGAAGCAGAAAGUAAUGUGGAAGCAGAAAGUAAUGUGGAGGCAGAAAGUAAUGUGGAAGCAGAAAAUUUGGGUAAUGCGUACCACCACCUUUGUAAGGGCAUGUUUGGUGAAUCUAUACCAUCUUUUAUAUUAAACGACAAAGUGAAUAAUUUAACAUUGUUUAGUGAUAAAUUUGUUUACUAUGAUCAUAUAAUUAAUCAAAAAAAAAGAGAAAAUAAUAAUAACUUUUUUGAAUAUUAUAACAUGAG
Molecule: long non-coding RNA, 1068 nt
Filed under: Piliocolobus tephrosceles (Ugandan red Colobus)
Lineage: Eukaryota; Metazoa; Chordata; Mammalia; Primates; Cercopithecidae
Description: lncRNA (ENSPTEG00000001511.1)
Source: RNAcentral